This 384-nucleotide ribosomal RNA is filed under the name uncultured bacterium. RNAcentral describes it as "bacterial SSU rRNA". It matches the Rfam family "Bacterial small subunit ribosomal RNA", at positions 276 to 671 of the family's 1533-position model. The record is from RNAcentral.
ACGACNGGUAGCCGGCCUGAGAGGGUGUCCGGCCACACUGGGACUGANAUACGGCCCAGANUCCUNCGGGAGGNAGCAGUGGGGAAUAUUGCACAAUGGGCGCAAGCCUGAUGCAGCGACGCCGCGUGGGGGAUGACGGCCUUCGGGUUGUAAACCUCUUUCAGUAGGGACGAAGCGCAAGUGACGGUACCUACAGAAGAAGGACCGGCCAACUACGUGCCAGCAGCCGCGGUAAUACGUAGGGUSCGAGCGUUGUCCGGAAUUACUGGGCGUAAAGAGCUCGUAGGUGGUUUGUCGCGUUGUUCGUGAAAUCUCACAACUCAAUUGUGAGCGUGCGAGCGAUACGGGCAGACUGGAGUACUGCAGGGGAGAUGGGGAAUUCCU